RNAcentral lists this ribosomal RNA (617 nucleotides) under uncultured bacterium. Its description in RNAcentral is "bacterial SSU rRNA". It matches the Rfam family "Bacterial small subunit ribosomal RNA", at positions 97 to 728 of the family's 1533-position model. The record is from RNAcentral.
GGCGAACGGGUGAGUAACACGUGGCCAAUCUGCCCUGCUCUCUGGGAUAAGCCCGGGAAACUGGGUCUAAUACCGCAUACGACACUCCGAGGCAUCUCGGGGUGUGGAAAGUUCCGGCGGUGCAGGAUGAGCCCGCGGCCUAUCAGCUUGUUGGUGGGGUAAUGGCCUACCAAGGCGACGACGGGUAGCCGGCCAGAGAGGGUGACCGGCCACACUGGGACUGAGACACGGCCCAGACUCCUACGGGAGGCAGCAGUGGGGAAUAUUGCACAAUGGGCGAAAGCCUGAUGCAGCGACGCCGCGUGAGGGAUGACGGCAUUCGGGUUGUAAACCUCUUUCAGCAGGGAAGAAGCGAAAGUGACGGUACCUGCAGAAGAAGCACCGGCUAACUACGUGCCAGCAGCAGCGGUAAUACGUAGGGUGCGAGCGUUGUCCGGAAUUAUUGGGCGUAAACAGCUCGUAGGCGGUUUGUCGCGUCGAUUGUGAAAGCCCGGGGCUUAACCCUGGGUCUGCAGUCGAUACGGGCAGGCUAGAGUUCGGAAGGGGAGAAUGGAAUUCCUGGUGUAGCGGUGAAAUGCGCAGAUAUCAGGAGGUACACCGGUGGCGAAGGCGGGUCU